Molecule: ribosomal RNA, 319 nt
Filed under: uncultured eukaryote
Lineage: Eukaryota
Description: partial 18S ribosomal RNA
Rfam family: Eukaryotic small subunit ribosomal RNA
Source: RNAcentral
CCCUUAGAUGUUCUGGGCCGCACGCGCGCUACACUGAUGAAUUCAACGAGCACUAACCUGUGCCGAAAGGUUCGGGUAAUCUUGUGAAAUUUCAUCGUGAUGGGGAUUGAUUAUUGCAAUUUUUAAUCAUAAACGAGGAAUUCCUAGUAAGCGCCAGUCAGCAGCUUGCGCUGAUUACGUCCCUGCCCUUUGUACACACCGCCCGUCGCUCCUACCGAUGGGUGAUCCGGUGAAUGAUUCGGACUUCAGCGGCUCCCCUGGGGUGCGCCGGAGAAAGUUUUGUGAACCUUAUCACUUGGAGGAAGGAGAAGUCGUAACA